AGAAAAUGCAGGAAAAGGAUGAAAACUGGGACAAACGCGACCUCCUCUCCUCUGGGCCUGGCAGAAAAGGGUUAAGAGAAGCGGUUGAAUGCUGCAAGCCUCGUCAGGGUUGUACUAUUUUUUCUAGUGCAUAAGGAGAAGGGAGAGGAGGGUUGCACGGAAAAGGGAAAUUUCCAAGAAAAGAGGGAUCUGCGGCAAUAUCUGCACCUCGGGGGAUGAAGAGAGGAACCAACAGGCAUAAAUGGCCUGGAGAUGGCUGAAAUCCUUGCCGAGGAGAUUGGGACCGCGGGGUUAUUUUCCACCUGCCUCCCCUGCCCGGUUCUGUAAUCCUGGCUCAAAGUAGACAAGUCGAGUUGGAGCUGAAGAAGGGAGGUUAGAGGGGUUUUUAUUUCAUUUGGGAGGGAAAAAAAAAANNNNNNNNNNNNNNNNNNNNAAAAAAAAAAAAAAAAAAAAAAAAGGCAAAAAAUGGGAGGCUGGUUGGCCCUCCCCGGGCUGAGCAUCUCCAUGGUGCGAGGCAAUGCAGGAUGAUCCAGGGGAGCGCUCGCCAGGAGCAGGGAUGCUGAGGACCCGGCGCCCACCGGGGACAUGAGCCUCAACAUCCCCACCAGAAAUUUCACCCAACGGAGUCGAAUUCCCACGGGGGCGAUGCCACACCUCCCGAGGACACUGGGGACAUCGGGUUUUGCUGAGCUUAGCAGCUUUUCACCGUCUUACCGAAGGCAUCAGACAGACGCUCAUCUGCCCUGAAGUGCAGAUCUGCAACAGCUCCCGGGAAGACUCUGUCUCUCUGUCUCUCUGUCUCUCUUUCUCUCUCUCUCCAGUCCAAACCAUUACAAGACCUGACUUCCACCAUCUGGGAAUCUAACCCCUCUUAUGCCCCUUCUCCUUUUUCUACGAUGACUCACCAUUAUUUUUAACUUUGAAGAGAGAGGAAAUUAUGGGGAUCUUGGAAGCCUCUAUUUCUCUCUAGGAUUUCCCCAGGGUCAGAUAAUCGGUGUUACUAAGAGACACUAAGAUUUGGCUUCUCCAGGUAAUGUGAUUUGUUUUCUGUGUGCCAUGGUGGUUUGCAGAGAAUGACAGGAGCCGGGACAGCAGCGCUCGAGGAGGGGGACUGCGGUGGUCCGCGGGGCAGCUGGAACCGCCGGCUCCACAUUCCGGCAGCCGCAGAGCUCGGCUGCAGGCAGGGAGGGCAGCAUGUCACCAGGGAAAGAGGAUUGGGAAGGUAUUAAACUUAAAAGCGGAGCUGGAGCUUUCCUGGAGGGUAGAUUGCCUGAGAUCGCAUGGUUAAAUGUUAAUUAACCCUUAGCUGCAUGCCUGGAAAUGAGCUGAGCCCGGCACCCCGUGGGGUCCUCUCGCCACUUCAGGGCUGGAUGGGGUUAUUUUUCUUCCUUCCUUUCUCUUCCCUUCCCCCUUUUUAUUUUUUUUAACUGCAUUUCUUUUUUUUUUUUUUUUUAGCCAAAAAAUAAGCCCUGGUUUAUCAAUGCCAGUUUUUCCACGCUGGUUUUGAACAGGUGAUGGUUCCUCAGGUGUUUUCUCUGUUCCACCUAAAGGGUUUAGAUGGGAGUUGUUGAACUCUGUCCCAAGGAAGGCAAAUUAACCCCUCCAGGAAGGGGAUAGACGAGCUAGAGAAGGGAUCUGCUCUCCUCCCACCAACUUUAUUCCAUCUCUCUCUUUCUCAGCAGGGGCGAUUUUCUUUCUUCUUCUUCUUCUUCUUCUUUUUUUUUUUCCUCUAUUUUUAUCUCAUCCC
Molecule: long non-coding RNA, 1747 nt
Filed under: Serinus canaria (Common canary)
Lineage: Eukaryota; Metazoa; Chordata; Aves; Passeriformes; Fringillidae
Description: lncRNA (ENSSCAG00000013618.1)
Source: RNAcentral